GGUCCAGACUCUACGGGAGGCAGCAGUGGGGAAUAUUGCGCAAUGGGGAAACCCUGACGCAGCAAUGCCGAGUGAGUGAGGAAGGCCUUCGGGUUGUAAAGCUCUGUCAGAAGGGAAUAAUGGUAUAGGGUCCAAUAGGCCUUAUAUUUGAAGGUACCUUCAAAGGAAGCACCGGCUAACUUCGUGCCAGCAGCCGCGGUAAUACGAAGGGUGCAAGCGUUGUUCGGAUUUAUUGGGCGUAAAGCGCGCGCAGGCGGAUUGUUAAGUCAGAUGUGAAAUCUCGGGGCUCAACCCCGAAACUGCGUCUGAAACUGAUAAUCUAGAAUCUCGGAGAGGGAAGGGGAAUUUCGCAUGUAGGGGUAAAAUCCGUAGAGAUGCGAAGGAACACCAGAGGCGAAGGCGCCUUCCUGGACGAGUAUUGACGCUGAGGCGCGAAAGCGUGGGUAGCAAACAGGAUUAGAUACCCUGGUAGUCCACGCCGUAAACGAUGUGCACUAGAUUUUGGAGGUUUGACCCCUUCAGAGUCGUAGCUAACGCAUUAAGUGCACCGCCUGGGGAGUACGGUCGCAAGACUAAAACUCAAAGGAAUUGACGGGGGCCC
RNAcentral lists this ribosomal RNA (601 nucleotides) under uncultured Bacteriovorax sp. RNAcentral describes it as "bacterial SSU rRNA". It matches the Rfam family "Bacterial small subunit ribosomal RNA", at positions 328 to 922 of the family's 1533-position model. The record is from RNAcentral. Lineage: Bacteria; Pseudomonadati; Bdellovibrionota; Bacteriovoracia; Bacteriovoracales; Bacteriovoracaceae.